AAAAACGAAUCCUUGGGUUCAGGAAGAAAGAAUCAUAGUAAUCAAUGCAGAAAAAAGAAAAAAUGGGAUAGCUGAGGCAAAAAGGAUACAACUUUAUCCUUUGGGUUGAUUGAAAAGAUACAAAAGGUACGAUUAAAACUCAAAAGUCACUUUCUACGAUGAUGUGAAAAAAUAGUAAAGAUUCCAAGGCAGACCCAGAAAAGAACCAGACGAUCCGAGAUUCUGGCUGGAUAAACUGAGAAUUUUACAUGGUAUUUCACUGUUGUUGAAUCAACGAAGAAGGAAGGAUUGAGAAAGAGUUACCUGGAAGGUGACGGAGGCUAGAGGGGCGGCCAUGCCUCUGUAAAGAGCAGAAGGACCAUCGGCGGCGACAAUCCGGCGAAGAAUGCCGAAGGCAGAGGAAGAGGAUGGGGAUCCAGAAUGGGGGAUGGUCUGUUGCUGACGAAUACGCAAGGUGUCAAGUGGGUAACCGGCGAUUAUACCGGCGGUACCACCGCACCCGCCGGCGACGAACUCUCUCCCCCAACUGCUGGCGAGGAACUCAGGCCAGAAAUCCAUAAUCUCAUUCUCCAAAGGGUAAGACCUUUUCGUUUUUGUUGUUUUUCUCUCCUCUCGUUCUGAUUUGAUCAGGCUCUCAGGCUGGUGUUUCUUAUACGUAACUCAAUUGAAUGGCACUUUUAUCAUCAUGAUUGUUUGUGUCCCUCUUUUAUAGUUUGAAUGUGAGCUGGGGGGGAGGAGAAUAAAGAAACCCUAAAGAAAAGGGGGGAGAAGGGAGGAGAAGGAGGGCUCUGAGUCGAAAUUCCAAACGGAGGAAUUACGGAGGAAGAAAACAAAUGAUCACCGGUGGCUAUUGUCAGUGGGGGGAAAACAAUACCAGUGGUGGGAAGAAGAAACGGACAACGUUCUCUCGUAAAAUAUUCAUAAUGGGGCCUGGAUUAUUCUUAUCUACACUAAUUUAUCUCCGAUUUUUUGUGUAAAAUUUUUUAUAUCCCAAAUUGGUUGUAAAUGAUUUAUAUGUGAUGCUGCAGAUUGCGGAUCGGUAUUGCAGAUUGGUAUUGCGAUGAAGAUCUCCUCCCCCUCUCUUAUAGAGGUAUAUGUUCGAUCGUUUUGCUCUUGAAUUUCUAGACGCUUAGAGACGCAUGUAUCUCGUGUAGUUGGCACCACUGCCACGAAUGUUUGGAAUGGUACACUUGCUUGCAGGUAGUGCGGAAGGUUAACGAAACUGUUCAUAUUGUGGCAAGACUCUUACAUAUCAUCAUCUUGAGUCAUAUCGAGAUUGAUCUAAUGACUUGAAUAGAUGGUUAGAUUCAUUCAUUUUUACUUGUUAUCUCAAUUUUUUCUACCGAUCAGGAACUAUUAUGUAGAUAAAAUAUAGUAGAAUGAUCUAGUAUAUGAUAUAUCAUCCACAAUUUAAGCCAUCCACCGUGUUUCAAACGGGUACCUAAGAAACUUUAACAAUUCUACUUAUAUUGAUUUUAGACUUACCUUAAAUGUGUAUUUAAUAUGUAUACAAGUUAAGUGUCCGAUUUUCUGGAGAAAUUUGUUUCUAUCACUUCGACUCACCGUCUGCUAGACUCUUUUAUCACCUUUCGAUCGGCAUUUUUUCACUUAAGACCCAUCUCACUACCAACCGAACGGAACCUUGUGAUAUAUUUGAAAUUUUAAAAAAGUUGAAGAUGGAUUUGAGUAUAUUGUCAACUAAUUGAGGCCUGAUUUGUGAAUUAUCCUAAAACACUUUUGAACAGGUCCACUCUUUGUUGGACACGUGGAAAGAAGACUUGAUGACGACAACAAUUAAAGGUGGUCUUCUUGGAGUCUUUCCUUGGUGUUCUCCGAUGGCGUAGGAGUGGUUAGUGGUAUCACCCUACUAGUGUAUUGUCAACAAACUCCUUGGACCAAAUAACAUAGUGCUCACUCAAGUUUGGAUAUUGUACCGAUGUAAUCUAUAAAGUUAAAAGAGAUGAUUUAGUUUAUCCGGUAUUCUACAACUUGUUCUGUUACGUACACUUUCCCGUUAAAUAUGUCAUAUUAAUGUGUAAUGUCUUUGAAGCUGAAUUGUGUGCG
Molecule: long non-coding RNA, 2064 nt
Filed under: Linum usitatissimum (flax)
Lineage: Eukaryota; Viridiplantae; Streptophyta; Magnoliopsida; Malpighiales; Linaceae
Description: long non-coding RNA (LUSI_LNC003380)
Source: RNAcentral